This 387-nucleotide ribosomal RNA is filed under the name uncultured bacterium. RNAcentral's name for it is "bacterial SSU rRNA". It matches the Rfam family "Bacterial small subunit ribosomal RNA", at positions 28 to 417 of the family's 1533-position model. The record is from RNAcentral.
GACGAACGCUGGCGGCGUGCUUAACACAUGCAAGUCGAGCGGUAAGGCCCUUUCGGGGGUACGACGAGCGGCGAACGGGUGAGUAACACGUGGGUGACCUGCCCUCAGCUCUGGGAUAAGCCUGGGAAACCGGGUCUAAUACCGGAUAUGACUCCAUGACGCAUGUUGUGGGGUGGAAAGCCUUGUGCGGCUGAGGAUGGGCCCGCGGCCUAUCAGCUUGUUGGUGGGGUAAUGGCCACCAAGGCGACGACGGUAGCCGGCCUGAGAGGGCGACCGGCCACACUGGGACUGAGACACGGCCCAGACUCCUACGGGAGGCAGCAGUGGGGAAUCUUGCGCAAUGGGCGAAAGCCUGACGCAGCGACGCCGCGUGAGGGAUGACGGCCU